Molecule: long non-coding RNA, 1026 nt
Organism: Dipodomys spectabilis (banner-tailed kangaroo rat)
Lineage: Eukaryota; Metazoa; Chordata; Mammalia; Rodentia; Heteromyidae
Exons: 4
Source: RefSeq, a predicted model, not a curated record
CGGGCGGCCGGGCGGAGUUGGCUCCCGGCGGUGGUGGCUUCACUUUCCAGGACUGAGGGGCGGCCAGAGCCGCAGCCGCGGGCAGCAGCCUCGAGAGCCGGAGCUGGAAAGGCCGGGGGCGGCGUUGAAUUGUAUUGUCAAGGUGAUGUGCAGAGGGGUUACAGUUACAAACAUAAGUACCCAAAUAAGAAUAGGAGAGUGAGUAGUGACCCCUUGAGACUGUUGAAGUUAUUCAUUGUCCUCAGAAUCAUGGAUACAUCAAGCAGUGCAAGAAGGUGAACCAACAUUCCACAUCUCUUCACCAAGUCACAGAUCAGCCAACAACCAGAAUCAAAGCCUGAAAACUCUUCCAUCAGACACAAGCGCUCUGCAGGGUUGACUAUGGAGGGAAGGAAAGUGUGGGACAAGCCAGGUGGCAGUGGAUCUUGCCUUUCAUCCUAGCUGCUCAGGAAAAUUACAGUUCCAAGCUAGCCUACACAGACAAGUCUACAAGUGUCUACUUCCAAUUCACCAUCUAAAAGCCAGACUUGGGGAAUGGUUCAAGUAGUAGAGAGCCAGCCAGGAGCUGAGAGAGUGUUAGUUGAAACCGUGGCAUCACAAGAUGGAUGCAAACUCUGCUUGUGGUACCAGUUUCUCCAUGGCUAUUUCUAUCCCUCAGACAUCAUGGAACCAUACAUAGAGCAGAGUUUGAGAAAGUUCACCAUCACAUUUCAAAUCAAUGGGGUGACUAGAAACUGACAAAAGACGAGACACACCAGUGCCGUAUGCUAUUUGAUUCUUUCUAAUAAAAAGUGAGAACCGUCUAUCACCUCUGUAAAAUUUAAAGACAAUGUGGGAUGCAUGUUGUUGCUUUCUAAUUUGAAAAAGAUGAAGGUACAUUUUAACUUGCCUGACAUAUGCAUAUAACGCACAGAAUACCCUUGCCCCAAUUCUCCUAGGUUCAGACUUUUCCUUUCUGGAUUUUCUUAACCACUAGUUGGUUUGACAAGUUCAAACCCAUGGAGUACUGGUACUAUAAAACUUCUA